GGGACUAAGAAUUGAAAAUGGAGGCUAGGAAUAAGGGUUGGGAAUAAGGGACAAGGGUUGGAAAUAGGAGCUAGGAUCAAUAGAUGAGGGCCAAGAACAAGGGCUGAAAACAAGAGAUAAGGGCUGAAAAUGAAGGCUGGAAAUGAAGGCUAGAAAUAAGAAAUGGGGGCUAAGAACAAAGGCUAGGAAUGAGGGACAAGAGUUGAAAACUGAAACAAGGGACAUGAACAUGGACGUGGAAUGAGAGUACAGUGUUGGUUAUGAUUAGUAGAAUCAAUUUAACAAGCUCUUUUAUCUAUUUUUCAUACACAUUUAAAAUUUAAAAUUUU
This 329-nucleotide long non-coding RNA is filed under the name Physcomitrium patens. RNAcentral's name for it is "long non-coding RNA (PPAT_LNC005484)". Lineage: Eukaryota; Viridiplantae; Streptophyta; Bryopsida; Funariales; Funariaceae. The record is from RNAcentral.